This 846-nucleotide ribosomal RNA is filed under the name Microbacterium laevaniformans. RNAcentral's name for it is "bacterial SSU rRNA". It matches the Rfam family "Bacterial small subunit ribosomal RNA", at positions 21 to 877 of the family's 1533-position model. Lineage: Bacteria; Bacillati; Actinomycetota; Actinomycetes; Micrococcales; Microbacteriaceae. The record is from RNAcentral.
GGCUCAGGAUGAACGCUGGCGGCGUGCUUAACACAUGCAAGUCGAACGGUGAAGCCCAGCUUGCUGGGUGGAUCAGUGGCGAACGGGUGAGUAACACGUGAGCAAUCUGCCCCUGACUCUGGGAUAAGCGCUGGAAACGGCGUCUAAUACUGGAUAUGAACCGUGGAGGCAUCUUCAACGGUUGGAAAGAUUUUUUGGUCAGGGAUGAGCUCGCGGCCUAUCAGCUUGUUGGUGAGGUAAUGGCUCACCAAGGCGUCGACGGGUAGCCGGCCUGAGAGGGUGACCGGCCACACUGGGACUGAGACACGGCCCAGACUCCUACGGGAGGCAGCAGUGGGGAAUAUUGCACAAUGGGCGCAAGCCUGAUGCAGCAACGCCGCGUGAGGGAUGACGGCCUUCGGGUUGUAAACCUCUUUUAGCAGGGAAGAAGCGAAAGUGACGGUACCUGCAGAAAAAGCGCCGGCUAACUACGUGCCAGCAGCCGCGGUAAUACGUAGGGCGCAAGCGUUAUCCGGAAUUAUUGGGCGUAAAGAGCUCGUAGGCGGUUUGUCGCGUCUGCUGUGAAAUCCCGAGGCUCAACCUCGGGUCUGCAGUGGGUACGGGCAGACUAGAGUGCGGUAGGGGAGAUUGGAAUUCCUGGUGUAGCGGUGGAAUGCGCAGAUAUCAGGAGGAACACCGAUGGCGAAGGCAGAUCUCUGGGCCGUAACUGACGCUGAGGAGCGAAAGGGUGGGGAGCAAACAGGCUUAGAUACCCUGGUAGUCCACCCCGUAAACGUUGGGAACUAGUUGUGGGGUCCAUUCCACGGAUUCCGUGACGCAGCUAACGCAUUAAGUUCCCCGCCUGGG